GGCUCAGGAUGAACGCUGGCGGUAUGCUUAACACAUGCAAGUCGAACGGAAUGCUUAGGCAUUUAGUGGCGGACGGGUGAGUAACGCGUGAGAAUUUGGCUUCAGGUCGGGGACAACAGUUGGAAACGACUGCUAAUACCGGAUAUGCCGGAAGGUGAAAGGCUUGCUGCCUGAAGAUAAGCUCGCGUCUGAUUAGCUAGUUGGUAGUGUAAGGGACUACCAAGGCGACGAUCAGUAGCUGGUCUGAGAGGAUGAUCAGCCACACUGGGACUGAGACACGGCCCAGACUCCUACGGGAGGCAGCAGUGGGGAAUUUUCCGCAAUGGGCGAAAGCCUGACGGAGCAAUACCGCGUGAGGGAGGAAGGCUCUUGGGUCGUAAACCUCUUUUCUCAAGGAAGAAAAAAAUGACGGUACUUGUGGAAUAAGCAUCGGCUAACUCCGUGCCAGCAGCCGCGGUAAUACGGAGGAUGCAAGCGUUAUCCGGAAUGAUUGGGCGUAAAGGGUCCGCAGGUGGUACUGUAAGUCUGCUGUUAAAGAGUCUGGCUCAACCAGAUAAAAGCAGUGGAAACUACAGAACUAGAGUGCGUUCGGGGCAGAAGGAAUUCCUGGUGUAGCGGUGAAAUGCGUAGAUAUCAGGAAGAACACCGGUGGCGAAAGCGUUCUGCUAGGCCGCAACUGACACUGAGGGACGAAAGCUAGGGGAGCGAAUGGGAUUAGAUACCCCAGUAGUCCUAGCCGUAAACGAUGGAUACUAGGCGUGGCUUGUAUCGACCCGAGCCGUGCCGGAGCUAACGCGUUAAGUAUCCCGCCUGGG
RNAcentral lists this ribosomal RNA (815 nucleotides) under uncultured bacterium. RNAcentral's name for it is "bacterial SSU rRNA". It matches the Rfam family "Bacterial small subunit ribosomal RNA", at positions 21 to 877 of the family's 1533-position model. The record is from RNAcentral.